Molecule: non-coding RNA, 71 nt
Organism: Phrynosoma platyrhinos (Desert horned lizard)
Lineage: Eukaryota; Metazoa; Chordata; Lepidosauria; Squamata; Phrynosomatidae
Source: the annotation of a GenBank genome assembly
UCCGAGUUGGUGUAGUGGUUUGAACAUUGGAAUAUGACUCUGGAGAUCAGGGUUCAAAUCCCCAUUUGGUC